UACUUGAUCUUGACUAUCCUACUUGGAUAACUGUGGUAAUUCUAGAGCUAAUACAUGCACCAAAGCUCUGACCUUACGGAAAGAGUGCAUUUAUUAGAACAAAACCAAGCGACUUCGGUCGUUUUUUGUUGACUCAGAAUAACUAAGCUGAUCGCAUGGUCUUGCACCGGCGACGUGUCUUUCAAGUAUCUGCCUUAUCAACUUUCGAUGGUAGUGUAUCUGACUACCAUGGUGGUGACGGGUAACGGAGGAUAAGGGUUUGACUCCGGAGAAGGGGCCUGAGAAAUGGCCACUACGUCUAAGGAUGGCAGCAGGCGCGCAAAUUACCCACUCUCAGAACGAGGAGGUAGUGACGAAAAAUAACGAGACCGUUCUCUAUGAGGCCGGUCAUCGGAAUGGGUACAAUCUAAA
RNAcentral lists this ribosomal RNA (411 nucleotides) under unidentified nematode Sourhope farm. RNAcentral's name for it is "SSU rRNA". It matches the Rfam family "Eukaryotic small subunit ribosomal RNA", at positions 118 to 529 of the family's 1831-position model. The record is from RNAcentral. Lineage: Eukaryota; Metazoa; Nematoda.